UACGUAGGGGGCAAGCGUUGUCCGGAAUCAUUGGGCGUAAAGCGCGCGUAGGCGGCCAGAUAAGUCCGGUGUGAAAGUCACAGGCUCAACCUGUGAAUGCCGCUGGAAACUGUCUGGCUUGAGUCCGGAAGGGGCGAGUGGAAUUCCUGGUGUAGCGGUGAAAUGCGCAGAUAUCAGGAGGAACACCAGUGGCGAAGGCGACUCACUGGACACGUAUUGACGCUGAGGUGCGAAAGCGUGGGGAGCAAACAGG
RNAcentral lists this ribosomal RNA (253 nucleotides) under uncultured bacterium. RNAcentral's name for it is "partial 16S ribosomal RNA". It matches the Rfam family "Bacterial small subunit ribosomal RNA", at positions 524 to 776 of the family's 1533-position model. The record is from RNAcentral.